RNAcentral lists this small nuclear RNA (103 nucleotides) under Meriones unguiculatus (Mongolian gerbil). Lineage: Eukaryota; Metazoa; Chordata; Mammalia; Rodentia; Muridae. The record is from RNAcentral.
GUGUGGCAGCACAUAUCCUCAAAUUGUAAGGAGUCAGAAAAAGUUAGCAUGGCCUCUGUGUACGAAUGGUGUCACGCAAAUUUGUGAAGUGGCCCAUGUGUUU